CUGGUAGGCUUGUCCCUCGCCGCCCGCCGUAGCCCGGCGCUCGGCCGGUUGCCGUCUCCAAGAUGGCCGCUGCGCGCACGGCUCCUGCGGCGGGCUAGAGGCGGAGGCGGAGCCGAGUCACUCCCGCACUUCGGGCUCCGGUCCCCCGCGCCAGGCUGCAGCUUACUGCCCGCCGCGGCCAUGCGGGGCUCUGUGCACGGAUGAGAGAAGCUGCCGCCGAGCUGGCCCCCCCUCCCGCCCUCGCCGUCACCUCCGCCGCCGCCAUGGAGGAGCCGCCGCCGGGGCCGCCGCCGGAACCCGAGCCCAAGCCCGAAUGCUACCCGGCGGCGAGGCAAGAGUGCACCUCGGGGGACUCAGCUUGCAAGAGUCCCGAGUCCGAUCCGGAAGACUUCUCAGAUGAAACAAAUACAGAGAAUCUUUAUGGCACCUCUCCCCCUAGCACACCACGACAGAUGAAGCGCAUGUCAGCCAAGCACCAGAGGAACAGUGUUGGGAGGCCGGCCAGUCGAUCCAAUCUGAAAGAAAAAAUGAAUGCACCAAAUCUGCCUCCACAUAAAGACACUGGAAAAACAGUGGAGAAUGUGGAAGAGUAUAGCUAUAAGCAGGAGAAAAAGAUCCGAGCAACUCUUAGAACAACAGAGCGUGAUCAUAAAAAAAAUGCACAGUGCUCUUUUAUGUUAGACUCAGUGGGUGGGUCUUUGCCAAAAAAAUCAAUUCCAGAUGUGGAUCUCAAUAAGCCUUACCUCAGCCUUGGCUGUAGCAAUGCUAAGCUUCCGGUAUCUGUGCCCAUGCCUAUAGCCAGACCGACACGCCAGACUUCUAGAACUGACUGUCCGGCAGACCGCUUAAAAUUUUUUGAAACAUUACGACUUUUGCUAAAGCUUACCUCAGUCUCGAAGAAGAAGGACAGGGAGCAAAGAGGACAAGAAAACACGUCUGCUUUCUGGUUUAACCGAUCUAAUGAACUGAUCUGGUUAGAGCUUCAAGCCUGGCAUGCAGGACGGACCAUUAAUGACCAGGACUUCUUUUUAUAUACAGCCCGUCAAGCCAUACCAGAUAUUAUCAAUGAAAUCCUUACUUUCAAAGUUAAUUAUGGGAGCUUUGCCUUUGUUAGAAAUGGAGCUAGUUUUAAUGGUACUUCAGUAGAAGGGCAGUGCAAAGCCCCUCAUGGAGCAAAGACUGUGGGUUACUCAACAUAUCAUGAGCAUCUCCAACGCCAGAGGGUCUCAUUUGAGCAGGUAAAGCGGAUAAUGGAACUGCUAGAGUACAUAGAAGCACUUUAUCCAUCACUGCAGGCUCUUCAAAAGGACUAUGAAAAAUACGCUGCAAAAGACUUCCAGAACAGGGUGCAGGCACUCUGUUUGUGGCUGAAUAUCACAAAAGACUUAAAUCAGAAACUAAGGAUUAUGGGCACUGUUUUGGGCGUCAAGAAUUUAUCAGACAUUGGCUGGCCAGUGUUUGAAAUCCCUUCCCCUCGACCAUCCAAAGGUAAUGAGCCGGAUUAUGAGGGUGACGACACAGAAGGAGAAUUGAAGGAGCUGGAAAGUAGUACGGAUGAGAGUGAAGAAGAGCAAGCCUCUGAUCCCUGGGUACCGGAAGUCAGACAGCCCAUAAACAACAGUUUUGACUUCCAGUUGCAGGACUGUGUAUCCAAGAAGCUGGAGAGGCUCCAAUCUGAGGAUGAUUCUGUUGGCUGGGGAGCACCAGACUGCAGCACAGAUGCAGGCUUUGGUAGACAUUGUCUGACUUCUAUUUAUAGGCCAUUUGUAGACAAAGCACUGAAGCAGAUGGGGUUAAGAAAGUUAAUUUUAAGACUUCACAAGCUAAUGGAUGGUUCCUUGCAAAGGGCACGUAUAGCAUUGGUAAAGAAUGAUCGUCCAGUGGAGUUUUCUGAAUUUCCAGAUCCCAUGUGGGGUUCAGAUUAUGUGCAGCUGUCAAGGACACCGCCUUCCUCUGAGCAGAAAUGCAGUGCCGUGUCAUGGGAGGAGCUGAAGGCCAUGGACUUACCUUCAUUCGAACCUGCCUUCCUAGUCCUCUGCCGAGUCCUUCUGAAUGUCAUACAUGAGUGUCUGAAACUAAGAUUGGAGCAGAGACCUGCUGGAGAACCAUCUCUCUUGAGUAUUAAGCAGCUGGUGCGAGAGUGUAAGGAGGUCCUGAAGGGCGGCCUGCUGAUGAAACAGUACUACCAGUUCAUGCUGCAGGAGGUCCUGGAUGACCUGGGAAAGCCCGACUGCAACAUCGACGCCUUUGAGGAGGAUCUGCAUAAAAUGCUGAUGGUAUAUUUUGAUUACAUGAGAAGCUGGAUCCAAAUGCUACAGCAGUUACCUCAAGCGUCCCAUAGUUUAAAAAACCUGUUAGAAGAAGAAUGGAAUUUCACCAAAGAGAUCACACAUUACAUACGGGGAGGAGAAGCACAGGCCGGAAAGCUUUUCUGUGAUAUCGCAGGAAUGCUGCUGAAAUCUACCGGGAGUUUUUUAGAGUUUGGCCUGCAGGAGAGCUGUGCUGAGUUUUGGACCAGUGCUGACGACAGCAGUGCUUCGGAUGAGAUCAGGAGGUCUGUUAUAGAGAUUAGCCGAGCCCUGAAGGAGCUUUUUCAUGAAGCCAGAGAAAGAGCUUCAAAGGCACUGGGAUUCGCUAAGAUGUUGAGGAAGGACUUGGAAAUCGCGGCAGAAUUUGUACUUUCAGCCCCAGUAAGAGACCUCCUGGAUGUUCUGAAAUCAAAACAGUAUGUUAAGGUGCAGAUUCCUGGGUUGGAAAACUUGCAAGUGUUUGUUCCAGACCUUCUUGCUGGGGAGAAAAGCAUUAUUUUGAAAUUACUCAAUGCAGCUGCAGGAAAGGACUGUUCGAAAGACUCAGAUGACGUACUCAUUGAUGCCUAUCUCCUCCUGGCCAAGCAUGGUGACCGGGCUCGAGAUUCAGAGGACAGCUGGGGCUCAUGGGAAGCACAGCCUGUCAAGAUUGUGCCCCAGGUGGAGACGGUUGACACCCUGAGAAGCAUGCAGGUGGAUAAUCUUUUACUAGUUGUCAUGCAGUCUGCCCAUCUCACGAUUCAGAGAAAAGCUUUCCAGCAGUCCAUUGAGGGACUCAUGACUCUAUGCCAGGAGCAGACAUCCAGUCAGCCGGUCAUCGCCAAAGCUCUGCAGCAGCUGAAGAAUGAUGCAUUAGAGCUGUGCAACAGAAUAAGCAAUGCCAUUGACCGCGUGGACCACAUGUUCACAUCAGAAUUUGAUGCUGAAGUUGAUGAAUCUGAAUCUGUCACGCUGCAGCAGUAUUACCGGGAAGCAAUGAUUCAGGGGUACAAUUUUGGGUUUGAGUAUCAUAAAGAAGUUGUUCGUUUGAUGUCUGGAGAAUUCAGACAGAAGAUAGGAGACAAAUAUAUAAGCUUUGCCCGGAAAUGGAUGAAUUAUGUCCUGACUAAAUGUGAGAGUGGUAGAGGCACAAGGCCCAGGUGGGCAACUCAAGGAUUUGAUUUUCUGCAAGCAAUUGAACCUGCCUUUAUUUCAGCUUUACCAGAAGACGACUUCUUGAGUUUACAAGCCUUGAUGAAUGAAUGUAUUGGCCAUGUCAUAGGAAAACCACACAGUCCUGUUACAGGUUUGUACCUUGCCAUCCAUCGGAACAGCCCCCGUCCUGUGAAGGUUCCUCGAUGCCAUAGUGACCCUCCUAACCCACAUCUCAUUAUCCCAACUCCAGAGGGAUUCAGCACUCGGAGCGUGCCUUUGGACGCACGGAGCCACGGCAGCCCUGCUGCUGCCUCUGCUGCUGCUGCUACUGCUGCUGCUGUCGCCAGUCGCCCCGGCCCCUCUGGCGGUGACUCUGCACCACCCAAACCCGUCAGCAGUGCCCAUGAUACCAGGGGUUCCAGCGUCCCUGAAAAUGAUCGAUUGGCUUCCAUAGCUGCUGAACUGCAGUUUAGGUCCCUGAGUCGUCACUCGAGCCCCACGGAGGAGCGAGACGAACCGGCAUAUCCAAGAGGGGACUCAAGUGGGUCAGCACGAAGAAGCUGGGAACUUCGCACACUUAUCAGCCAGACUAAAGAUAGUGCUUCUAAACAAGGACCCAUAGAAGCUAUCCAGAAGUCAGUUCGAUUGUUUGAGGAAAAGAGGUAUCGAGAAAUGAGGAGAAAGAAUAUCAUUGGUCAAGUUUGUGAUACGCCUAAAUCCUAUGAUAAUGUCAUGCAUGUUGGUCUGAGGAAGGUGACCUUCAAGUGGCAAAGAGGAAACAAAAUUGGAGAAGGCCAGUAUGGGAAGGUCUAUACCUGCAUCAGUGUCGAUACUGGGGAGCUGAUGGCUAUGAAGGAGAUUCGAUUUCAGCCUAAUGACCAUAAGACUAUCAAGGAAACUGCAGAUGAACUGAAAAUAUUUGAAGGCAUCAAGCACCCCAAUCUGGUUCGGUAUUUUGGUGUGGAGCUCCAUAGAAGCACAGUAACUUUGCCUAAUUCUCAGGAAAUCUCCAUGAGUUACAUCAUUUCUGCCUUCUCUCUGAAACUAGAGGAGUUCUUCCUAAAAUGAAGAAAUGUACAUCUUCAUGGAGUACUGUGACGAGGGCACGUUAGAGGAGGUGUCGCGGCUGGGGCUGCAGGAGCAUGUUAUCAGGCUGUACUCGAAACAGAUCACCAUCGCCAUCAACGUCCUCCAUGAGCAUGGCAUAGUUCACCGUGACAUUAAAGGUGCCAAUAUUUUCCUUACCUCUUCUGGACUCAUCAAACUGGGAGAUUUUGGAUGUUCAGUAAAGCUUAAAAACAAUGCCCAGACCAUGCCUGGUGAAGUGAAUAGCACACUGGGGACAGCAGCAUACAUGGCACCCGAAGUCAUCACUCGUGCCAAAGGAGAAGGCCACGGGCGUGCGGCUGACGUCUGGAGUCUGGGCUGUGUUGUCAUAGAGAUGGUGACUGGCAAGAGGCCUUGGCAUGAGUAUGAACACAACUUCCAGAUUAUGUAUAAAGUGGGAAUGGGGCAUAAGCCCCCCAUCCCCGAGAGAUUAAGCCCUGAAGGGAAGGAUUUCCUUUCUCACUGUCUCGAGAGUGACCCAAAGAUGAGGUGGACAGCCAGCCAGCUCCUCGACCAUUCGUUUGUCAAGGUUUGCACAGAUGAAGAAUGAAGCCUAGUGGCAUAUGGACUUGGAAGUUCUCGUAAUCACUACUGUAUGUAAUAUUUACAUGAAGACUGUGCUGAGAAGCAGUAUAAGCCUUUUUAACCUUCCGAGACUGAAGACUGCACAGGUGACAAGCGUCACUUCUCCUGCUGCUCCUGUUUGUCUGACGUGGCACAGGGCCCUCUGGAGGGCUGGUGACCACAAGGUUGAAGAAGCUGCAUGUUAAGUGCCAUUACUACUGUCCACAGACCAUCGCCUCCGUCUCCUCCGUGUCUUGCGUGACUGAGAACCGUGACAUCAGCAUAGUGUUUUUGACCUUUCUAGGUUCAAAAGAAGUUGUAGUGUUAUCAGGCGUCCCGGACUUUGUUUUUAAUCUCCUGUUUGUCGAGUGCACUGACUGUGAAACCUUACCUUUUUGUUGUUGUUGGCAAGCUGCAGGUAUGUUAUGCAAAAGGCUGAUUAAUGAAAUUUGAGGAAAAGUUUCUUUUUUCAAUAAAUGGUUUAUUUUAGGAAAGCUCA
This is an RNA transcript of Carlito syrichta (Philippine tarsier), 5613 nucleotides long. It is a transcript of the gene named mitogen-activated protein kinase kinase kinase 4, with no coding region annotated. The transcript has 28 exons. The record is from RefSeq and is a predicted model, not a curated record. Lineage: Eukaryota; Metazoa; Chordata; Mammalia; Primates; Tarsiidae.